This 251-nucleotide unclassified non-coding RNA is filed under the name plant metagenome. RNAcentral's name for it is "partial contains small subunit ribosomal RNA, internal transcribed spacer 1, and 5.8S ribosomal RNA". The record is from RNAcentral.
UUUCCGUAGGUGAACCUGCGGAAGGAUCAUUAAUGUGUUUGGGCCUCACGGCUCUUCAUUCCGACGCUGUGCGCCUUCGGGCUGCACGCUGAGGGAGCAUAUAUCCACCCCCGUGCACACACACGGUGGCGAGCUGGGUAACGGCUCGCCGCUGAUCUUUACACACGUCUAAAAGUCAUUGUAUGUUUAUUUGAGAUAAAAACACAACUUUCAGCAACGGAUCUCUUGGCUCCCGCAUCGAAGAACGCAGC